AUGAAUUUGAGUUCCCAACGAAUACUAACUGACGGAGAAAGAAAGAAAUAAGGAUUUUGAGAGCCAGUUGGAUGCACUGCACAUAAACAGCAACAGCCCCAUCUGAUUUUAAUCAUACCACACUUAGACCAGAAAAGGAAGUUGGAAAUAGAUUGAAAAUGUUCCUCCCAAAAGUGUUGGUUUUGAUUACAUUCAUGUCACCGUUCGCGGUAUCGACGUCAAGUGGUACAAUUGAGAAAAAACGAUCAGUAAACUACAAUGCAGUAGAAGGAUGUUUUUCUUCAUUCCCAUUUGCAGGCCUGACAAAGCAAAUGGGAGGUCACAACUCAAAUCUUAUGUGUCAAGAUACCUGCAGAAAUAAGGGAUAUAUUUUGGCUGCGACAAAAGGCGAUGAAUGUCAAUGUGGAAAUGUCUAUCCAAACGGACAAAAAGUGAAGCAAAGUCGAUGCACAACCAAAUGCCGCUCGUGGUCACCCUGUCAUGGACCA
Molecule: long non-coding RNA, 488 nt
Organism: Dendronephthya gigantea
Lineage: Eukaryota; Metazoa; Cnidaria; Anthozoa; Malacalcyonacea; Nephtheidae
Exons: 3
Source: RefSeq, a predicted model, not a curated record